UACGGGGGGGAGCAAGCGUUGUUCGGAUUUACUGGGCGUAAAGCGCGCGUAGGCGGCUGGGGAAGUCGGUGGUGAAAGCUCGUGGCUCAACUACGAGUCGGCCAACGAUACUCCUCGGCUCGAGCACUGUAGAGGCAGGUGGAAUUCCGGGUGUAGCGGUGGAAUGCGUAGAGAUCCGGAAGAACACCGGUGGCGAAGGCGGGUCUCUGGGCAACAACUGACGCUGAGGAGCGAAAGCGUGGGGAGCGAACAGGAUAGAAACCCUAGGUAGUCCAAGACC
RNAcentral lists this ribosomal RNA (280 nucleotides) under uncultured bacterium. RNAcentral describes it as "partial 16S ribosomal RNA". It matches the Rfam family "Bacterial small subunit ribosomal RNA", at positions 524 to 802 of the family's 1533-position model. The record is from RNAcentral.